RNAcentral lists this ribosomal RNA (141 nucleotides) under uncultured bacterium. Its description in RNAcentral is "partial 16S rRNA". It matches the Rfam family "Bacterial small subunit ribosomal RNA", at positions 355 to 511 of the family's 1533-position model. The record is from RNAcentral.
UGGGGAAUUUUCCGCAAUGGGCGAAAGCCUGACGGAGCAAUGCCGCGUGGAGGUGGAAGGCCUACGGGUCGUCAACUUCUUUUCUCGGAGAAGAAACAAUGACGGUAUCUGAGGAAUAAGCAUCGGCUAACUCUGUGCCNG